Molecule: long non-coding RNA, 1402 nt
Filed under: Sus scrofa (pig)
Lineage: Eukaryota; Metazoa; Chordata; Mammalia; Artiodactyla; Suidae
Description: lncRNA (ENSSSCG00050078395.1)
Source: RNAcentral
GCGGAUGGAAAGAGGGAGAGAUAGAAGAAUGGAGAAGAAUGGAGAAACACAGCCCAUGAAGCUGCCGGCCCAGGGUCCGCAACUGGCAGAAGGCGGCGGCUCUCAGGACAGGCUGCUGAAUCCGGAACCACGGCUCCAUCGCCACCAGCUUUGUGGCCACAGGACAGUUAUAAGCAGUACAGCGGCCGCCUUGUGGGCAGUGCGGUGGGAUUCACGUGGGCUUUCCAGCUGCUAAGGACGUCUUCGCCUUAUUGGGAUCGGCAGAGUAAUUGACACGUCCACACUCUGUGUAAAACGGACGACCUACUGUAGAGCACAGGGAACUCUGCUCCGCGUUUUGUAAGACCGUAGGGAAAAGCAUCCAAAAAGGCGUAUCUAGAAAUCACCGCCCUGGACACCCGAAGCUAUAACACGACCUUAGAAACCAACCGCGUUUCAAUUAAAAACCAAUCUUAUCUCAGAGCAGAGGGCUGGCCGUAUAAUUCAGGGUUGGAGGAGGCUGUAACUUGGACCCGGUGAGACCCCUCCGUUUCGGGCUGGCUUCCUGUUUGCAGCUCACGUACACGGAUAACCGAACACGUUCAUGGGUUCUAGGCGAGUGGUCACAGCGUGUCAACCUUAAAAACCAUGGAGCUGAGGACUAGAUUCUCACUCUUUCCUUGGGGCCUGGUUUCCCUGUGGUCAGAGGACAACAAAACCGCAGUUACCACCGUUUUCAGUGUUUCCCAGAGGACGGGGGCGGGGGGGUCACCUGCGUCCCUGGCGAUUUGGUUCCUGGUGCCUUUAGGUGACUGAAAUUCCUCUCCUCCUCCUUUGCUUUUUCAGAUGAAUUUAUUUCUUUUUAUUUUUUGCUUUAUUUAUUUAUUUUUUUAGGAGGUUCCCAGGCUAGGGGUCGAAUCAGAGCUGCAGCUUCCGGCCGACAGCACAGCCACAGCAACACCAGAUCCAAGUCGUGUCUGCGACCUACACCACAGCUCAUGGCAACGCCGGGUCCUUAACCCACUGAGCAAGGCCAGGGAUCGAACCUGGGUCUUCAUGGAUACUAGUUGGGUUCUUAACCUGCUGAGCCGGGACAGGAACUCCCAAACUAGCUUUAAUGGACAGUUACUCAGGCAACACUUCACCCGGGUAAAUGUCCACAAAACACUGUGUGGGCUGCGUUGCACAUGGUUGGGCCCAGGGGAGAAAUUGCUGGAUGCAGACUCAGAAGACAUGGCUUCAUGCCCCCACCACGAGGUUACACCUCUGUGACGCUGUGGACAUCGUCAAGGAUACGGCGGCCGCGGUGACACAUGCCAGGCUUGUGUUCUAGCAGGGUUUGCUGAGGAACAAAUGUGGUUGCAGAUUUGGAAGUUUCGAGGCGCUGGUAAAACACGUACAAAUGCUCAAGAAAAAAAAAAAA